RNAcentral lists this long non-coding RNA (210 nucleotides) under Homo sapiens (human). RNAcentral's name for it is "non-protein coding lnc-KCNA5-4:2". Lineage: Eukaryota; Metazoa; Chordata; Mammalia; Primates; Hominidae. The record is from RNAcentral.
GGUGCAAGUUGAUAAAAGAAUUCUGGAAAUUGAAGGCCAAGGAAGAGUGACUCAAAAAUAAGAAGCAGGCUGAAAAAUGAGAUGAGGAGACCGAGGCUCGGAGAGGCUUAUGCAUUUGCCCAAGACUCUACAACUCCACAACUUAACAGGCAAUUGCAUCUAGCAUAUAAUGUGUUGGUUAUCCCCAGAACACAGAGCAGUGCAUCUCCA